AGCAGCCGCGGUAAUUCCAGCCCUUUAGCGUAUAUUAAAGUUGUUGCAGUUAAAAAGCUCGUAGUUGAAUUUCGGGGUCAGUAGGUCGGUCGUGCCACUGGUAUGAACUGGUUUUACUGAUUCCUCCCUCUUGAAGAACUGUAAUGCCAUUAAUUUGGUGUUGCAGGGAAUCAGGACUGUUACUUUGAAAAAAUUAGAGUGUUUAAAGCAGGCUUUAGCUUGAAUACAUUAGCAUGGAAUAAUGAAAUAGGACGUUUGAUCCUACUUUGUUGGUUUCUAGGAUUGACGUAAUGAUUAAUAGGGAUAGUUGGGGGCAUUAGUAUUCAAUUGUCAGAGGUGAAAUUCUUGGAUUUAUUGAAGACUAACUACUGCGAAAGCAUUUGCCAAGGAUGUUUUCAUUAAUCAAGAACGAAAGUUAGGGGAUCGAAGACGAUCAGAUACCGUCGUAGUCUUAACCAUUAACUAUGCCGACUAGGGAUUCGGAUGAUGUUUAAUUUUUUAAUGACUCA
This 509-nucleotide ribosomal RNA is filed under the name uncultured Glomeromycotina. RNAcentral describes it as "SSU rRNA". It matches the Rfam family "Eukaryotic small subunit ribosomal RNA", at positions 569 to 1078 of the family's 1831-position model. The record is from RNAcentral. Lineage: Eukaryota; Fungi; Glomeromycota.